AGCUUGGGAAACUGGGUCUAAUACCGAAUAUGACCGCGCACUUCCUGGUGUGUGGUGGAAAGCUUUUGCGGUGUGGGAUGGGCCCGCGGCCUAUCAGCUUGUUGGUGGGGUAAUGGCCUACCAAGGCGACGACGGGUAGCCGGCCUGAGAGGGUGACCGGCCACACUGGGACUGAGAUACGGCCCAGACUCCUACGGGAGGCAGCAGUGGGGAAUAUUGCACAAUGGGCGCAAGCCUGAUGCAGCGACGCCGCGUGAGGGAUGACGGCCUUCGGGUUGUAAACCUCUUUCAAUAGGGACGAAGCGCAAGUGACGGUACCUAUAGAAGAAGGACCGGCCAACUACGUGCCAGCAGCCGCGGUAAUAC
Molecule: ribosomal RNA, 366 nt
Filed under: Mycobacterium sp. a
Lineage: Bacteria; Bacillati; Actinomycetota; Actinomycetes; Mycobacteriales; Mycobacteriaceae
Description: bacterial SSU rRNA
Rfam family: Bacterial small subunit ribosomal RNA
Source: RNAcentral